AUACGUAGGGGGCGAGCGUUGUCCGGAAUGAUUGGGCGUAAAGGGCGCGUAGGCGGCCAUGUAAGUCUGAAGUGAAAGUCCUGUUUUUAAGAUGGGAAUUGCUUUGGAUACUGUGUGGCUUGAGUGCAGGAGAGGUAAGUGGAAUUCCCAGUGUAGCGGUGAAAUGCGUAGAGAUUGGGAGGAACACCAGUGGCGAAGGCGACUUACUGGACUGUAACUGACGCUGAGGCGCGAAAGUGUGGGGAGCAAACAGGAUUAGAUACCCUGGUAGUCCACACUGUAAACGAUGAAUGCUAGGUGUAGGGGGUAUCGACCCCUUCUGUGCCGCAGUAAACACAAUAAGCAUUCCGCCUGGGGAGUACGGCCGCAAGGUUGAAACUCAAAGGAAUUGACGGGG
This 397-nucleotide ribosomal RNA is filed under the name uncultured bacterium. RNAcentral's name for it is "partial 16S ribosomal RNA". It matches the Rfam family "Bacterial small subunit ribosomal RNA", at positions 523 to 918 of the family's 1533-position model. The record is from RNAcentral.